This 288-nucleotide long non-coding RNA is filed under the name Capra hircus (goat). RNAcentral's name for it is "lncRNA (ENSCHIG00000003904.1)". Lineage: Eukaryota; Metazoa; Chordata; Mammalia; Artiodactyla; Bovidae. The record is from RNAcentral.
GCUUAGCUUCAGAAAAACAGCACCUGUCAAAUCUUACAUCCGUGUACUUUGGCUGUGGGAGCAACAGCAAUGUGUAUUGACUAAAACUCAAAUAGGUCAUUCCUACAUACUUGAAAACCUUCUGCUUCUGAUCAGUGUCUUAUGCAUCAGCUAUCCAAGAUUUAAUACCUCAUGGAAUGUACUUGCUGGAAAGAAACAAAAAACUAUAUCUCACAACAUUGCACAUGAUGGUAAGACAAAUUUUCCUCAUCAUCUUUAAUUACUGUUCAUAGCAUUAUAAAAGAUAAU